UUACACAUGCAAGUCGAACGGUAACAGGCCGCAAGGNGCUGACGAGUGGCNAACGGGUGAGUAAUGCAUCGGAACGUGCCCAGUCGUGGGGGAUAACUGCUCGAAAGAGCAGCUAAUACCGCAUACGAUCUAUGGAUGAAAGCGGGGGACCGUAAGGNCUCGCGCGAUUGGAGCGGCCGAUGUCAGAUUAGGUAGUUGGUGGGGUAAAGGNUCACCAAGCCAACGAUCUGUAGCUGGUCUGANAGGACGACCAGCCACACUGGGACUGAGACACGGCCCAGACUCCUACGGGAGGCAGCAGUGGGGAAUUUU
RNAcentral lists this ribosomal RNA (312 nucleotides) under bacterium enrichment culture. RNAcentral's name for it is "bacterial SSU rRNA". It matches the Rfam family "Bacterial small subunit ribosomal RNA", at positions 49 to 365 of the family's 1533-position model. The record is from RNAcentral.